GACGAACGCUGGCGGCGUGCUUAACACAUGCAAGUCGAACGGAAAGGCCCUGCUUUUGUGGGGUGCUCGAGUGGCGAACGGGUGAGUAACACGUGAGUAACCUGCCCUUGACUUUGGGAUAACUUCAGGAAACUGGGGCUAAUACCGGAUAGGAGCUCCUGCUGUAUGGUGGGGGUUGGAAAGUUUAGGCGGUUGGGGAUGGACUCGCGGCUUAUCAGCUUGUUGGUGGGGUAGUGGGUUACCAAGGCUUUGACGGGUAGCAGGCCUGAUAGGGUGACCUGCCACAUUGGGACUGAGAUACGGCCCAGACUCCUACGGGAGGCAGCAGUGGGGAAUAUUGCACAAUGGGCGGAAGCCUGAUGCAACAACGCCGCGUGCGGGAUGACGGCCUUCGGUUUGUAUACCGCUUUCGCCUGUGACGAAGCGUGAGUGACGGUAAUGGGUAAAGAAGCACCGGCUAACUACGUG
RNAcentral lists this ribosomal RNA (468 nucleotides) under uncultured bacterium. Its description in RNAcentral is "partial 16S ribosomal RNA". It matches the Rfam family "Bacterial small subunit ribosomal RNA", at positions 28 to 507 of the family's 1533-position model. The record is from RNAcentral.